This 7050-nucleotide long non-coding RNA is filed under the name Triticum aestivum (bread wheat). RNAcentral describes it as "long non-coding RNA (TAES_LNC000110)". Lineage: Eukaryota; Viridiplantae; Streptophyta; Magnoliopsida; Poales; Poaceae. The record is from RNAcentral.
GUUCUUUUUAGUUUUGAUUUUCGUUUCUGUUUUAAAAACAGAAUAGUUCUGAUUUUAUAUUGCUUAUAACUUUUAUGUUUUAGAUCCAAAUUUGGUGUUUCUUUUUGCAUUAGUUUUAUAAUUUCUUGAAGUUUCUGCUAGUGCAAUUGGAUUUCAUAUUUGAGUUGUUUAAAAUUGAAUUUGAUGAAAUUUGUUCAAAUUAGUAAUUUGGCCAUAACUUGCGCUUUAUAAAAUAUUUUUGAUUGAUUCUUUUUGCUCCUGGUCACUAGGACCUUUAACUAUCCAGUAGUGUUGAGUAUUUUAUUUUCAGUUUAUUUUAAAAUUAGGUUUUUAUCAAAACAGUACGGUUUUAGUUAUAGUUUUGUUUUAUUCUUUUCUUUAUAGUUUUAAUUGUUUUUUUUCUUUUGGUCCUUUUGACAAACUCUUAGUUUUGUUCUGUUGGUCAACAAAAUAAAAUUUUAUAUUAUUUUAAAAUUUUAUUUUAUUUAGUUUUCGUAUGAAAACUUGUUUAGGUCAUAGUUAGUGUUUCAUAAAAGCUUUUUAUUUGUUUCCUUUUACAAAUAAAUUUUUAUGAAAAAUACUUUCUGUUAACUUAGUUGUUUUAUUUUUUAUUUUCUGUUAACUUAUUAGUUUAGUGUUUUAUUUGUUGUUAAGUUUUACUUAGGACAACUAUUUUGUGUUAUGUCUUAGAGUUUUCUUUAGUAGUUUCGUGGUGUGGUUUUCCUUUGUUUUUAUUUGGUGUCCCUUGUUGAUUUGCAUUUUAUUUGUGGGUUUUAUUAUGAGUGUUAGAAUUACUUGCUAGUAUGUUUGCUUAUAUGAAUGUUAUGUUUGACUAUAUAGAUUUUCAACGGAGUGACGAAUAGUUCUACCAAGUCAUUAUUCUGAGAGUGUUGUUAUCUUCAUCAAGUAAUACCAGGCAAGUUCACUUUGACCAUGUUUUUCAUACCUAUGUUUUUAUUGCAUUUAGUGUCAUCUUUGCAACAAUCCCUCCAGUAGUGAUAUUGAAUUCUUGUAGUUGAUUAGUAAGCAUGAGGUAGGAACCCAUCACCCUGUUACCAAGCCCGGGACGUUAUUUAUUUUAAUGCUAUGCUAUAGUAGACAGGGUUUGGGACGAGUGCACGAGAGUGGUGUGAAGAAGGAGGACUCUACGUCAAUGACGACAACUCCAUGAUGGCAUCUGCAAGGACUGCAUCUUCAAGGCCUCAAGACUUCAAGACUCGGGCCUCAAGACUUCAAGACUCGAGACAAGAAUUCAAUACACACUACUGGGUGAAGGACGGUUGACGGGCACCCUGGAGAAACCAGUGGAUGGCCGGGAUGCAUGGUGAAGUGCCAUGAAAUCUUGCGGAAAGCUUCACCUAGACUCAAAGAGACGGAAGAAUACUUCGUGCCCGGAAGCUUACCUGUGCAACCACAAGUUACUAUGGGCUCUGGCUUGGUUGACCUUAGUUGUGACUCUGGCUGGGACGGUGCUAGCAGAUGUAAAACUACGGUAGGAUUGGAUGAGCACCGGACAGUGGUCAGAGGAACUCUUUGGAAGACCAUGUUUCGGUCAUCUUGUUCUCAAACACCCUGAAGUGCGAGAACGUAAAAAGAGGGAUCGAAUCUUGCGGGUAAAGUGUACAAACCUCUGCAGAGGGUUAAAACCUAAUCGAUUAGCCGUGUCCCCGGUUACGGACAAUUUGAGCCUCUGGACUUGGAUCUAUCUCGAAACUCUCAACACCGGACUGAUAACAUAAUUGUGGGCAACUUAUGAUGAUUUGGGCCAUGAGACAUCGGUUGGCGGAACCAUGUCAUCAUAGGAAACUCCGUGUAUAGACUCCUGAAUUUCUUUGAUGUAGGAAAAAUAAAACCAGCUUUUAUGCAAAACAAAACUCAGACAGAGAGCCACAAAGCCAUAUUGCAUAUAGUAUAGUUUUAUCAUCUGUUUUCUCAUGUUGUGAUCUUGCAUGUACAUUCAAUGUACUGACCUACAUGGCUGCAACGUAUCAUGUUGCAGAUACUUUCUUCCAACAAGUAAGACUACGGUACAGGGUUACGGUCUACACUCAACCUGCCGAUGGCGUUAAUGGGACUCCACACCCGACUAUUUGUUUCCGUUGUAACUUAUGAGGUAUAUAUUAGUUUUACGUUAUUUAUACAUGUGAUUGCACUUUGAUAUAUACAUUGAUGUACUGUGUGUGCCAGCAUACUGAUCCAGGGAUGCCACAGAAACACAGAGGCUUGACCGUCUGAGGUCGGGUCGCUAUAGAUAUGGUAUCAGAGCACAUGUUGACUAUAGGACGUGACCCUAGAAAUUGGAAAGCCACUAGGACAGGAAAUCUCUAAAAUUUUACUUUUAAAAAGACCCCUACUUCUCAUCUUUUCUGAUUUUAUCAAAUAGUCCCUCUUACCUCAAAUAGUUAGAACAUACCAUAUCCCCUUUUGACCACUCGGAGGAUCAACUGAAGCCACUCCAUGAAGGACUAGAUAUCGGACAACUGAUAACCACUUCAGAGUAAAGAGGAUUUCAUCAUUUGAAGACUCCGAAGACUCGAAGAAUUUGAAGACUAAAGAUUUAUUUGACCUUUAGAAGACCAAACUCCUGUUAUAUACUUACGUUAGAUGCGACGAUUUGUGAGCUGUCAUUUGUUUGUUGUUUUUCCGACAGCCACAAAAAUAAAACCGGUUUCUUCAAAACUAUUGUUUGUAUUGUGUGUAUCCCUCCCCACCUCUCUCAUAUCUCACCCCAAAACCCUUGGAACCAAUAGAUGAAUGAAGAUGGACUUGUGUUCUCUGGACCGAUGACUCAGUUGGAGGCAGAGCUAUGGACUCAGAACAUGGAGAAUCACUUUGGGAGCAAUUUGGUUUCAAGGAAGAAUGAAGUAUCGCACGCUCUUCAGUACUUUGAAGGAAGUGCUGCAACAUGGUGGCAGAUGCAUCAAGCCAUACAAGGAUGGAAUGGAGCAAAGACUUGCAAGAAUUCAAGAAGACUCUCACAAGAUCUCGUCUUAUCCGGAAGCACCAUGAUAACCCGAAGAAGAAACCUUGUGCAUGCAAGAUUUGCAGAGAAAUAGGACACACCCAGGAGGAACACAAGGAUGGAUGCCCUCAUUGUGAGGAGAAUCACCCAGCUGAAGAAUGCCCGACUGGGCAGGUUAUUUGUUUCCUGUGUGAAGGAGUUACUCAUUUCCCGGCUCAGUGCCAAAUUUACCCCAAGGUACAGGAAAUUACCAAGCAGCAGAAAGAAGCCCUUAGGAAAUGUUUGGAAGAAUCCAUGAUGGAGGAAGUCAUUGCUAUUCAUGUGGACAAAAAGAAGGACAUUAUUCCCAGUAUUGCACGAAGGAAAGAGAAGAGUAUCUCGGAGACUUCCCGACAGCAGAAGUGAAGUUUGACCCUCGGGAAAUAGAAUCUCUGAUCAUUACGGAGAAAUCCAGGAAGAGGAAACGAAGGCAUCCCCAGAACAACCCAAUUUCUGUAGAGAAGGACCUGAGUAAUAUCACUUGUUACAGGUGCAAGGAUUUAGAUCAUUACGCUUGUAAAUGUCCAGAGAAGAAGCCAAGAACCCAAAGAGUAGACGCCAUCUCCAAGAAGCCCAAAGACUUAUCAAAAGUUAUUUGUUUUCAUUGCAAGGAAGCAGGAAAUUAUGCUACUAAAUGUCCCGACAAGAUGAAAGCUGGAGCUGAGUAGUUGGAAUUUUGAUAUUGGUAGUAAGUGCAGUAGAAAGUAAUUUUAUUUUCAUGAGUUCGAUGAGUUGGAUUAUGUAAUGGAAGUCUCAGAGUUUGUAAUGGAUUCAUGAAUCAAUAAAGUUAAUGUGUUAUGAUUUCAUAUGUUGAAUUAUAUGAGUUGUUACUCCAUGAAGAAAGACCUUUGACCAUUUUCGAGGAUAUGAGAAAAUAUGGUCCAUGGAAGAAUUUGUGCAUUUCAAGGGUUAGUACCCUAUGAGGACACUCACAAAUGGAAAGUAAAAUGUAUUCCGCAGAGUGGAGUCUGGACAAUAGGAGUAUGAGUUUUAUUCCGAUACAUUGAUUGCACCAAGAGUAUGAAGGAAUGAAGUAUUAUCGGAAUUAAAUGGAGGUGUAAUGUUGGAAUAUGGAAUAAUAAUCCUCGAAAGGAUGAGUUAAAGAUGUCCAAGUGUUGAAUUGGGCCCACAACCCACAGGCUCAGGAAUUUAUAAGGAAUCAAGGACUCCCUGGAAGAAGAAAUUCCAUCAGCAGACGUUUCAUAGGAGGUUAGCAAAAAUCCAAGAGUGGUGAAGAAAUGAUAGAUGUCUUGCUCAGCUUGCAGAACCAAUGGAUUUACCCGAACCAUGUUCGAGGAUAAGAGAAAUUCUGCAAUGCUUGUGAGGAUGCCCAAGUGAUAGAAUAUGCGAUUCACUGUCAGUUUAUGAAGUAAUGGUUCGAGUACGGGAUGGAUUGGCCCCCAUACCGGACACUUCUAUCAUAAACUAUCAUAUGUUGAUGGAAAAUCAAAGAGACUUGAAAUCCUUAGAAGAGCGUCGAAACGACAAGCCAAACAACCUUAGAAUGGUAGGACGAUUGAUCCAUGUACAGGCAACCACUGCCAACCGUAGGUUACACGGUGAGAUUCAACCCAGACCAUUUCCUGCAGCAAAAACCAGAAAUUGUUGACCACCAUGAGAUUAUCGAUAGCUGUUUAGUAAUGGCAACAGACCUGCCAGUGAAGAAGACCCAGUCUCGGAAGAACCUCACCAGGAUGAAAGGACACGUGUUUGAGGAAAAGGUUUUGACCCUACCGGAAGAGCCCCAGUGUAGGAGUUACUCCGAAGAUGUGAGAAGACCGAUAGUGUUCACACUAAGGAUGGAGUACAUAAGAUCUGUUGGAACCAUAGCCCUGUUUUUAAGUGUGGUAGCACACUAGACCUUUCCGAUUGAUGGAUUUGCUAGAAGACCCCCAAACCCUAACCUUUCUUGCUAGCCUAUUCGAAUCUCAAGGACGAGAUUCAUUUUAAGUGUGGUAGGUUUGUAACAUCCCAAAAUUCUAAAUUUUGGAAUGUUAUAUUAAAUAAAUUAUUAUGAUUGUUUGUUUGAUAGAUUGACUGAAAGUGAGUGAAAUUUGAAACUUUUGAAAGUCGAAUGAGAGGGAAUGAAAUGACUUUCCCAAACUUUCAUCCUUGCAUUUUAUCCCAAUGAAUUCAAAUUCAUUUCAACACAAAACCCUAGAGUAAAGAUGACAUGACUUCUUCCAAUUGAAAUCAAAAGGGUUUUUGAAAAGAUUUGAAUUCUAUUUCGAAAUAUUUCAAAUUAUAAAACUUUAUGCAACUCAAUGAUUUUCUUGAGGGAAGAUAAAAUGACUUCUUCAAUUAUAUGCAACACGAGUUGGAAGUUACAAAGAAUCAAAUUGAAAGUCAUUUGGAAGUAUUUUGAAACUCCCUUUCAAUUUGGAAUUAUUUGGAUUUUAUUCAAAUUAUUUUCUCCUAAAAAUAAAUAAAUGGAAACCAGGGUAAAAUGAUUCGCUUCAAUGGAAAAUUAGGAGAAAAUAAAUUUGAAAUCAUUUUGGUAUUUUAAAAAUUAUUUUUAUUGAGUUUUAUUGCAAUAGCAGUGUUGUUUGAAUUCUUUUCUGAUUUUGUGUGAAUUUUGUUUGAACUUUAGAAAUAGUCCAUGCUAUAGGAAUUUUUUUUUGAAAAUUUUGAUAUAUUAUAUGUCUAUGUAUAAAUUCAGUUCUUUUACUUUUUCUAUUAGUUUUAGUCUCUGCUAAAAAAAGGGGGAAACCCGAGGCACGACCAGGCCAACCGGACCAGCCAGCCACCCGACGCGGCCCACCAGCAAGCCGAGCCGGCCUGCUCCACCCGCGCCGCGCCCGAAUCCCCCUCCCUCGGCCACCCGAUCCCUUUCCCCUCUCUCUUCUCUCGCUGACGCGUGGGACCCGCCGUCGCCUUCCUCCUCCCGCACGCAACGGCCCGAGCCGGAUCGCGCCGCCGCCACAGUAUCCCGGAUCUCUUGGGAUCGAGAAUCCCCUCGCCCAACCCCUCCUCCAAGUCUCUGGGCUAUAAAAGCCCCUCCCUCUCGUCCGAUUCCCCCCUAAAGCCCCCUACCCCUCUCUCUCAUCUUGCUGGAAUUGCUCGCCGGAGCCCGAGCUCCGCCGCCCACCAUUGCUACUGCAGCGCUCCACCCCGACCACCUCGUCGCCGUCUGAACCCACGACCGACCCCUCCUCGCUCACCGGCACCUCCCCAACCCCUCGCCCAAGCUUCAACGCCUCCAGAACGAGCUCGCCGUCGACCACCGAACGUCACCGCCGCCGUCGAGAUUGCCCCGCUCGAGUCCGUCGUCCCCGACCCUCGUCGACUCCGCCCACGUGGUUGUUGCUGUCGUCCGCAUCUCCUGGAGCCGCCGCCGUUGCCGGAGGACCACCGGAGCAGCUCGGUGCAUCGACCCGAGCCGCCGGAACCUCGCCGGAGUCACCCCGCCGCCGCGGUGAGCUCUCUCUCCCUCCUCAUCCGUCCGAUCUACUUUAUACGACCCAGAUUAGAUUAGAAUCGAACAAUUAGGUUUUUUUAUUAGAUCGGUUUAGGUCUAGUCGUUUUAGCCGAUCGGUCUUUCUGUUUUAGCCCGUACACGUUUGUGUUAUUUUACGACCGAGCGCUAGAUAGUUCAGAUCGCCCACCACCCUGGCCCGAUAGCAGUAGGCCACGUAGCUAGUGCCCGAUUGUUUUUUUUGUUUUGAUUUUCGUUUCUGUUUUAAAAACAGAAUAGUUCUGAUUUUAUGUUGCUUAUAACUUUUAUGUUUUAGAUCCAAAUUUGGUGUUUCUUUUUGCAUUAGUUUUAUAAGUUCUUGAAGUUUCUGCUAGUGAAAUUGGAUUUCAUAUUUGAGUUGUUUAAAAUUGAAUUUGAUGAAAUUUGUUCAAAUUAGUAAUUUGGCUAUAACUUGCGCUUUAUAAAAUAUUUUUGAUUGAUUCUUUUUGCUCCUGGUCACUAGGACCUUUAACUAUCCAGUAGUGUUGAGUAUUUUAUUUUUAGUUUAUUUUAAAAUUAGGUUUUUAUCAGAACAGUAUGGUUUUAGUUAUAGUUUUGUUUUAGUCUUUUCUUUAUAGUUUUAAUUGUUUUUUUU